AUUGAACGCUGGCGGCAUGCCUUACACAUGCAAGUCGAACGGCAGCACGGGGCAACCUGGUGGCGAGUGGCGAACGGGUGAGUAAUGCAUCGGAACGUGCCAUUGAGUGGGGAUAACGUAGCGAAAGUUGCGCUAAUACCGCAUAUUCUGUGAGCAGGAAAGCAGGGGACCGCAAGGCCUUGCGCUCUUUGAGCGGCCGAUGUCAGAUUAGCUAGUUGGUGAGGUAACGGCUUACCAAGGCGACGAUCUGUAGCGGGUCUGAGAGGAUGAUCCGCCACACUGGAACUGAGACACGGUCCAGACUCCUACGGGAGGCAGCAGUGGGAAUUUUGGACAAUGGGCGCAAGCCUGAUCCAGCCAUGCCGCGUGAGUGAAGAAGGCCUUCGGGUUGUAAACGUGC
This 400-nucleotide ribosomal RNA is filed under the name uncultured bacterium. RNAcentral describes it as "bacterial SSU rRNA". It matches the Rfam family "Bacterial small subunit ribosomal RNA", at positions 30 to 433 of the family's 1533-position model. The record is from RNAcentral.